CCUCCGUGUGGCCCAGUUUGCAUGUCAUGUAGAUAUCGGUUCACCACCAUCACGGAGAGGUUCUGCUUAAAAGGGAAUGGGACUGCAUGGGCUGUAGUGAGUGGAACAAGGCUCCCUUUCCACACCCUCUAAAGUCCCUCCCAAGAGCCUUCUCACAUGUGUCGCCACAGAGCGUGCGAUCGGCGGGGAGCUGUGGCUGACCACGGUUUCCCAGAUGAGUGCACCUGGAUGAGGAGUGCGUUUUCUUGGGUUGCAACCACAUAAGAAAGAAAGAAAUAACAGCCCCACCUCAGAGGCUGCUCCUUGGCUUCCCUGCCCUGCUUCCUCCAGGCGCUUCCUCCCGAGUAGAGAAGGCAGGCCUGGGAACCCCCAAACACCCGUUGGGCUGGAAAACAAACUAGCAUGAACCAGCAAUUCAUGCCCAUAUCUCGUGGUAACCAUUGUUCACUGCAUCCUAUGCAAAAUUAUUCAGAAGCACAUAUUUAUUCAAUGUGUUUUGCUCUCAGGGAAGCAUCCAUAGGAGAGGCAGCAGCCUUAAUCUCAAAAUCCAUUCGUCUUUAAAUGCUCUUUUUAAAUCAGCGGUCGACUUCCAUAAAAAGGUUCUCAUGCUGGGAAUAUUUUACCAGGUGGAUCCAGAUGAAGGGUGUGAACAGACAGCAAAAAAAGGAUCCUUGUCUGAUUGCACCAGAAAGGGCUGCUUUAAUGGGAGUUCUCUGCAAACGUACCCCACUCCAUAAGCAUCUUACUGUACCUGUCCAUCACUCCUGCCUAGUCCCCAAAGUCGUAGCUCUACAGCUGGACCAAACAGGCCCAGUUUGAGCAUGGACUGAGGCUGGGCUGGAGGAUGAUGGCCUCUUAUGUCUUGUGAUCGCCAGGAAAUAGCUUGUACCCAACAAGCAGUCCAAAAGAUGAGCGACAGGCCUGUAGGACCACACCCUAAAUUUCCACUGAAAUUAAUGGGGUUUAAGUCCUAAUCACUUCAUCUGGAAGAAGAGGAAGCUCAUAGACAGAGUCAUGGAGCACCAUACCCUGAAAUUUAGCCUAUGUCUGGGCGAGAGCGUUUAAAUACUGUAUUUGGAUGACAUACACGUGCCAGAACCCUUCAUCACUAAGCAGCCUAACCUGUGUGGUUGGGUCAUGCAGGUGAGCUUCAGGAUUCCAGCCGUUGGCCUCUCUGGAAGAGAGAUUUCCAAAAUCUGGUCCAUUCCCUUUCUGUAUGGGUUUUGCAACCUUAAAACACCCCAGGUGUACCUCUGAACGGCGUCAUGUGCGAAAGGGCUCUUAGCUAAAUUUGUCCAAAGUUGCAACUCGGUCAUCAGCAGUAAGCACAGGUCUUGUGGGUGGCUGGCUGGCUUUUUGAAAAGACUUCCUUCACAUCUGGAAACCCUUUUAUUUACCUUCCUUCUCAGGACGUACGAAACUUGACGCUUCUCCCUGGGGCUCCUCAAGAGUUCCACGGCGGGUAACAUUACACGUCUACCUCUGUAUGAAAUUCUAUCAAAAAGGCAGCUAGAAACAUGAGACCUGAGUUUACAUCUACCCUUUCUUUCCACUUGGUAAUUUGUGUUUGUGUUUAUGUUGUUGGAUGUAUACACCGCACCUCUUAAAUUUUCAGAGCAUGACUUAGAAGGCAUAAAUCUUACAUGGACCCAAUUUUUUUUUUUAAAAAAACUAAUUUUAUCUUUAAGUCUAUUGAAAUGAGCUUGCUCUCCCCUGCCCCCCAAAAGUUGCAUUGUGCCUUAUGUAGAUUUUGGCAGUAACUAAGCAAGGAUGGAGACAUUUGGGGACUACAGCAUCCAUCAUCCCUAACUCAAAGCCAUAUUGGCUGGGGUUGAUGGGAAUUUUACUUCAACAGCAUGUGGAAGGCUGAUUUUCUCCCUGGUGAUUUCGAUUUGAACAAGAUUUAGACUUAGCAGCACCUCUUCCAAGGGAGAAGGCCCUUAAAAGGAUGGUUAGAAUGGAGGACUCUAUCCUUCCUGCUAAAGGACAAGUGGCCACUCUGCCCCUGAUCUAGGAGGCAUUCCUCUCGCCUAUAUACAGUGUCACAUGCAUAAGAUAUUUUAGAGAGGAGGGGUGUAUGUAGCCCCACACCAGGCUGAAAUGGUGGCUUGCAGGAAUGGCCUGGAUCUCACACCAUGACAUGGGACCUUUUCCUCAUUUUCUCAUUAGGAAAAAGUGCCAUCCCAUCCUUUUCCCGGAGAACAUUCUAUACCUCAACUGGGAGGGGAAAAAUGAUCUGUAUUAGGACUGUUUGAGAGCAAGAGAGGGAGGGAGGGAGAAAAAUCCAUGCAUAUUCAGAGUUCUAAACAUAUUUGAGAAAUGGCAUGUGGCCAUAUUAAGCACCCUUACCUUAUUAAUGUAAGGCUCACAUUAAUAUUUGAAAUCCCCAAAUGUCUCCAUUUAGCCACCUUGUUCCCCCAGCUUUUGGCUAAAUUGCUCUAGUUUGACUAGUACUUUUUCUAAAAAAGCAGUUCUACCUUAACCCUACGCUUUCCUGACCACUGAAUAUUUGAUACAUAUAUAUCUUUUGCUUUUUCUUUUACUAUUUUUCUCUUUUGCGUGCGAAUACAUUUCAUGAACUUGUUUACAUAAACUAAGGUGUCUUUAUUAUUAAUAAUAAUACUUAGCAAAAAAAAAUACAAAUAAAGGAGAUCUCAGAAUACCCGCUGGUGCUGUA
RNAcentral lists this long non-coding RNA (2677 nucleotides) under Pogona vitticeps (central bearded dragon). RNAcentral describes it as "lncRNA (ENSPVIG00000024462.1)". Lineage: Eukaryota; Metazoa; Chordata; Lepidosauria; Squamata; Agamidae. The record is from RNAcentral.